GUCGAACGAGCUUCCGUUGAAUGACGUGCUUGCACUGAUUUCAACAAUGAAGCGAGUGGCGAACUGGUGAGUAACACGUGGGGAAUCUGCCCAGAAGCAGGGGAUAACACUUGGAAACAGGUGCUAAUACCGUAUAACAACAAAAUCCGCAUGGAUUUUGUUUGAAAGGUGGCUUCGGCUAUCACUUCUGGAUGAUCCCGCGGCGUAUUAGUUAGUUGGUGAGGUAAAGGCCCACCAAGACGAUGAUACGUAGCCGACCUGAGAGGGUAAUCGGCCACAUUGGGACUGAGACACGGCCCAAACUCCUACGGGAGGCAGCAGUAGGGAAUCUUCCACAAUGGACGAAAGUCUGAUGGAGCAAUGCCGCGUGAGUGAAGAAGGGUUUCGGCUCGUAAAACUCUGUUGUUAAAGAAGAACACCUUUGAGAGUAACUGUUCAAGGGUUGACGGUAUUUAACCAGAAAGCCACGGCUAACUACGUGCCAGCAGCCGCGGUAAUACGUAGGUGGCAAGCGUUGUCCGGAUUUAUUGGGCGUAAAGCGAGCGCAGGCGGUUUUUUAAGUCUGAUGUGAAAGCCUUCGGCUUAACCGGAGAAGUGCAUCGGAAACUGGGAGACUUGAGUGCAGAAGAGGACAGUGGAACUCCAUGUGUAGCGGUGGAAUGCGUAGAUAUAUGGAAGAACACCAGUGGCGAAGGCGGCUGUCUAGUCUGUAACUGACGCUGAGGCUCGAAAGCAUGGGUAGCGAACAGGAUUAGAUACCCUGGUAGUCCAUGCCGUAAACGAUGAGUGCUAAGUGUUGGAGGGUUUCCGCC
This 812-nucleotide ribosomal RNA is filed under the name Lactobacillus sp. 7.2.29. RNAcentral describes it as "bacterial SSU rRNA". It matches the Rfam family "Bacterial small subunit ribosomal RNA", at positions 61 to 838 of the family's 1533-position model. The record is from RNAcentral. Lineage: Bacteria; Bacillati; Bacillota; Bacilli; Lactobacillales; Lactobacillaceae.